This 254-nucleotide ribosomal RNA is filed under the name uncultured bacterium. RNAcentral's name for it is "partial 16S ribosomal RNA". It matches the Rfam family "Bacterial small subunit ribosomal RNA", at positions 1249 to 1500 of the family's 1533-position model. The record is from RNAcentral.
GCAAAGCCGCGAGGCAGAGCAAAACCCUAAAAAAUCGUCUCAGUUCAGAUUGCAGGCUGCAACUCGCCUGCAUGAAGUCGGAAUUGCUAGUAAUCGCAGAUCAGCAUGCUGCGGUGAAUACGUUCCCGGGCCUUGUACACACCGCCCGUCACACCAUGGGGGUCGGUAACACCCGAAGUCAGUAGCCUAAACCGAAAGGGAGGGCGCUGCCGAAGGUGGGGUCGAUGAUUGGGGUGAAGUCGUAACAAGGUAAC